CCUGAACCUUCCAAGUAAUGGUUAUUCUCCAGGACUUCAACAGCAUCUAUGGGAAUUUGCAAACAUGCAGCACCAUUUUCAUCUUCUUCAAUAUCAACUUCGUAUUUGACGAAAGUUGGAGGGGCGAUGCAAUUUGUGUUGAGGGAAGCAGUGACGCCUCCGCAUUGCACUGCUAUCAACUUUCUCAUGAUACUUAACGUGAUGAGGAGCUAAAUUAUUGUCCCAGCCUCCAUGGCGACGGAUAAAGUGUAGGAAUGUGUUGCUGGUUCAUCUUCUGUGUCAAUCAAUUCUUUUCUAGGUCGGAGAUGGUAUGGAGCGUGACAGCAGUCCAGGAUGAACGUUUUUCGACGAGAAUCCCUGAUGAUAACUACUGAUGCCUGAAGUGGUCAAAAUUAUCCUUUUUUCCAUUGAGAUGUUACUUGAAUACCUGGAGCUCAAGUAAACUGACGAUAUGAUCGAAAGAAGCUUCAAUUUCAAAACCAGGAAUUUUUAGUUUCCAAUAAUCGUCAAACAGGUUUCUAACCGGUUUUGCGUAUGGCAAUCAUCUAAGACGACAUAAACUUUUUGAAUUGUGAUGAGGAUGAAAAAAAAAAUUACGAAAAAGCUCUCUUGCCAAAGGAAAGAUAUCUGUCUUUCUGCGUCUUCCAUAGCUUUCUUCUUUUCUCUCAGCCACUUCACUUUUUCCUUGUACUUCUUGUUAGAUUCAUGAUAUUUGUAGGGAUUUCUUUAAGUCACGAAUCUCCUUCCACAUCGUUGUUUUCUGAAACUAUAAUGGUGACUGAAAAAGGGUUCUUUUGUUUCUAACUCGUGGUAGAAAUCUGGACUUUUCAAAUUCUUUCACUUCUUUUUAUUUUUGUUUACACUUGCAGAUUUCGAUUUUUUGGGAUCAGUAUGUUUGGUUGAGUAUUGAGUUGAUUCAUGGGCGUCCAAAGCUUCAUACAUUAUAAGCAUUCUUCGUGAUUUCUUCUUUGGUGGUAUCAAUUGCAGAGAUAAGGAGAGGAGAACGGAUCGUAUUGCAGCUGCCAGAAGGGAUGCCCGUCGAGCAGAAAGAGUGUGGAGAAGUCGUCACUUGGCCGUCGACAAGUCAAUUAUCUAUUUUUUUUGUUCUCUCCCACCUCAUUCAGGAUGCAAAGACUAAUAGCUAACGACAACGAGCUGACUAUGGCAAUGACCAGCUCUUCAAACGGAUGGAUGAAUGCCUUCUGAAUAUAACAGAUCUGAAAUUUCCAAAGCAUGAUACACCAAGUUUGUAUUUCAUGUCAAAGAUAUCUAAUGUCAGGACGGUUUUGGAUGCUUCAGCUGACACACUACGGGUACCUAAGGAAGGAAAUGGGGAUAUCAACCAAACCUGCAUAACUCAUUCGGAACUUCUCGCAAGUCUCGGAGAACUAUGUUAUCUCGAUGGUGAAAAAAAUGUCCUGCGAAGUCCUGCUCAUUGGCUCCAGUUCCUACGUCCCUUCUAAAGAUUUCCUUUGACUUUCCUGCUUCUCCUCUUGCUUCAAUCUUACACUUGUCUCUAACCACUGGUAUUUUUCCAGGCGCAUUGAAAAAGGCUCAUGUAUCUCAACUGCUCAAGAAGCCGGAAAACUGACACUAUCCUUGUAUACUCUAGAUCAGCCAGAACUCAGCCGAAAUACGUUCGCAUUGAAGUCGGAGAAGAAAGCAUCAAGCCAUCAUUAUCCAUCCGUAACAUUGAAUUUACCCUCGACUCAAACUUCACUCUGGAGAAUCCUGUAAAGAACAUCUGCAAGCCCAUUUCUAUAUUCAGAGAAUUGGGAGGAAUUCAUCCUUCU
Molecule: long non-coding RNA, 1793 nt
Filed under: Daphnia pulicaria
Lineage: Eukaryota; Metazoa; Arthropoda; Branchiopoda; Diplostraca; Daphniidae
Description: uncharacterized LOC124341847
Source: RNAcentral